CGAGCGCAUGAGUUGUGCUGGACCUGUGACUACCGGGAGGACCCCCGCUGUUGUGCGGCUGACUGCCGGUGCCAGUGUNCCCUUCAAUCGCUGGCNUAUUGUGUGCCUAUCGUUUUGACGAGUGCUUGUGUGCUGCUACCAGUUACACUGGAAGUUGCAUUGCUAAAUGUUGCUUUUGUCGUGCAUGCCCUUACGGCAUGUCACGUCAACUAUAAAGCGCUCAUGGCGUUGCCUCGUGUAGCUGGCCACAUAGGCUAGCGGCAUCAAGGCCACCUCAUGGACGCUAUUGGUCUCGGAUGCGGCUCACUCUANAAGGCUGAAGGUGCUUUGGCACGUCAUGCCUACAAAACAUAGUCCAANUUGGAAACUACGACAGUUGGCCUGGCUGAUGCCUCGUGUGGAAGCCAGUGCUUGCUCGUCGAUGAGGACGUGC
This 433-nucleotide unclassified non-coding RNA is filed under the name Paspalum molle. RNAcentral's name for it is "partial external transcribed spacer". The record is from RNAcentral. Lineage: Eukaryota; Viridiplantae; Streptophyta; Magnoliopsida; Poales; Poaceae.